AACCUGUUCUCUGCUCUCUUCAUAUGCUGUUCUUUGGCCUUUUGAAACCUGCAAAGGAAUUUUCCAUUCCACACUCACACCUUUUGCCCUUCCCAAAAUGCCCUGUGAUGCUUGCAACAGCGUUAGCAAUAUACAGUGCUGAUCUGCUUCCCCCA
Chelonoidis abingdonii (Abingdon island giant tortoise) is the source of this 155-nucleotide non-coding RNA. NCBI's taxonomy places the organism in Eukaryota, Metazoa, Chordata, Testudines, Testudinidae. The record is from RefSeq and is a predicted model, not a curated record.